CCCCACUUAGAUUUCCGAGAAAACCACCAAAUUGUGAGCAAGAGCUGUGUGUCAGCUGGGGCUGGACAAAAUGAGAAAGAGAACCUUACAGACAGAGGCAAGAUUGUUGAGAUGGAGAAUGUCACUUCCUGGGAAGGCAUGAAGACCUGAAUAAAAACCAGGGAUUCAAGGAUGGCAACUCAGCAGCUCUGAGGGUGAGCUGGUACCAGGGAACAAGAGAACACUGUUUUCCCCUGUUGCUGUCAGGUCCCUGCCAGCUCUCCUCAGCCUGGGAACUUGUCAGUCUCAACUCUGUGCAUAAGGCAACAAAUGAUUGCUUUGUAGCUUAAAGGUGUGUGUGUCCUGCUUGCACCACCUCUUUCUACACACUCAGUUGCCAAGGCAAAUGACAGAGAAGAACGAGGCCACCUCCACUGUGCCACAGCUGCCAGCAUGGCCAGGGUGCCUCACAAGAUCUCUCCCUGAAUGAUGGAUCAUACUCUGCAUACAAGCAAGAGGAAAUCCUGUUGGUGCUUUGACACAUGCAGACAGACUGCCACUAGAUGGAAAAAGCAAAAUCUGUUCACUUGCUGCAAAUGCUGGGGAGGGGGUGGGAACCAAACCACGGAAUUAAUACAAACCACUAAAUAAACAUCUGAUCAUCAUUCACACCUAUUUCUAUCUGAGUAUCAAGCUUUAUGGCCUACCAGUUUAUCAGGGCCACUGCCAAAAAGAUUCCUCAUAGCUGGCAGCAGACAGGAAUCUUCCUGAAGCUCAGCAGACACAAGGUUACAACGAGAGCUGCUGCUUUCAAGUGUGAUACAACUUUUCAAAGAGGACCACACUUAUUUCCUGCUUUGCUGAGCCCCAGUUCUCUGAGCUGCUUUCCUGCUGAGUCCCUUGCCAGCUGGGCUGGUCCCCCCCAGCCACCACUGUCUUCCAGAGCCAUGUCCCACUCCUGCAGAGGGCUGCCAUGUCCUGCCAGCUCCCUGAGGUGACCCCUCCCUCCUCUUGGUCUUCACUCCUCCUUCUUAUCAUACAUCCAUUGGGUUCCAUUAGCACAGGAUCAAGGUAAGCACAAAAAAAAUACAAGCUCUGUGCUGGGCCCAGAGCAGCUUUGGUGGGCAAACUGACUCUGUUUGCAUGCAUGGGCAAAACAGGCUUAAUUACUCUUUAGAGUUCAUGUACACACAGCUUAGUCAGAAAGAAGACAAAUUAAUCAUUUUCUCACUAAAAUACAGGCUAGAAAACAUGAGACCAAAAAC
This 1244-nucleotide long non-coding RNA is filed under the name Zonotrichia albicollis (white-throated sparrow). Its description in RNAcentral is "lncRNA (ENSZALG00000009651.1)". Lineage: Eukaryota; Metazoa; Chordata; Aves; Passeriformes; Passerellidae. The record is from RNAcentral.